This 508-nucleotide ribosomal RNA is filed under the name uncultured bacterium. RNAcentral's name for it is "partial 16S ribosomal RNA". It matches the Rfam family "Bacterial small subunit ribosomal RNA", at positions 28 to 507 of the family's 1533-position model. The record is from RNAcentral.
GACGAACGCUAGCGGCGUGCUUAACACAUGCAAGUCGAACGGGCCUUGUCCCCUUUUUUUUUGGGGGUGGGGUUAGUGGCGAACGGGUGAGUAACACGUGAGUAACCUGCCCCUCACUUCUGGAUAACCGCUUGAAAGGGUGGCUAAUACGGGGUGUUCUGGCCUGCUCGCAUGGGUGGGUUUGGAAAGAUUCGACCGGUUUUGGUUGUUUUGGUGGGGGAUGGGCUCGCGGCCUAUCAGCUUGUUGGUGGGGUGAUGGCCUGCCAAGGCUUUGACGGGUAGCCGGCCUGAGAGGGUGGGCGGUCACACUGGGACUGAGACACGGCCCAGACUCCUACGGGAGGCAGCAGUGGGGAAUAUUGCACAAGGGGCGCAAGCCUGAUGCAGCGACGCCGCGUGAGGGAUGGAGGCCUUCGGGUUGUGAACCUCUUUCGCCAGUGAAGAAGGUCCUGCUCUUUGUGGUGGGGUUGACGGUAGCUGGGUUAAUGAAGCGCCGGCUAACUACGUG